CAGUAGGUAGUUUAUUGUUAAAAUAUAGUAUUUGGGUUACUAUGAAUUGUUACUGA
This 56-nucleotide transfer RNA is filed under the name Baylisascaris procyonis (raccoon roundworm). RNAcentral describes it as "tRNA-Pro". Lineage: Eukaryota; Metazoa; Nematoda; Chromadorea; Rhabditida; Ascarididae. The record is from RNAcentral.